RNAcentral lists this ribosomal RNA (433 nucleotides) under uncultured bacterium. RNAcentral describes it as "partial 16S ribosomal RNA". It matches the Rfam family "Bacterial small subunit ribosomal RNA", at positions 29 to 507 of the family's 1533-position model. The record is from RNAcentral.
AACGAACGCUGGCGGCAUGCCUAACACAUGCAAGUCGAACGAGACCUUCGGGUCUAGUGGCGCACGGGUGCGUAACGCGUGGGAACCUGCCCUUAGGUUCGGAAUAACUCCCCGAAAGGGGUGCUAAUACCGGAUAAUGUCUUCGGACCAAAGAUUUAUCGCCUUUGGAUGGGCCCGCGUUGGAUUAGCUAGUUGGUAGGGUAAAAGCCUACCAAGGCGACGAUCCAUAGCUGGUCUGAGAGGAUGAUCAGCCACACUGGGACUGAGACACGGCCCAGACUCCUACGGGAGGCAGCAGUGGGGACUAUUGGACAAGGGGCGAAAGCCUGCUCCAGCAAUGCCGCGUGAGGGAUGAAGGCCUUAGGGUGGUAAAGCUCUUUUACCCGGGAUGAUAAUGACAGUACCGGGAGAAUAAGCUCCGGCUAACUCCGUG